CGGCGGACGGGUGAGUAACGCGUGGGUAACCUGCCUCAUACAGGGGGAUAACAGUUAGAAAUGACUGCUAAUACCGCAUAAGACCACGGUACCGCAUGGUACAGUGGUAAAAACUCCGGUGGUAUGAGAUGGACCCGCGUCUGAUUAGGUAGUUGGUGAGGUAACGGCCCACCAAGCCGACGAUCAGUAGCCGACCUGAGAGGGUGACCGGCCACAUUGGGACUGAGACACGGCCCAA
Molecule: ribosomal RNA, 238 nt
Filed under: uncultured bacterium
Lineage: Bacteria
Description: partial 16S ribosomal RNA
Rfam family: Bacterial small subunit ribosomal RNA
Source: RNAcentral